AGGGACGUGGCGGAACCGGCAGACGUGCGUGUCUCGAGAACUCGUGAGCACCGCCCGCGCAGGUUCGAGUCCCGCCGCCUCAA
This 83-nucleotide transfer RNA is filed under the name Eggerthella sp. CAG:209. RNAcentral's name for it is "transfer RNA-Ser(CGA)". Lineage: Bacteria; Bacillati; Actinomycetota; Coriobacteriia; Eggerthellales; Eggerthellaceae. The record is from RNAcentral.